CAACCCUCAAGCUCAGCUUGGUGUUGGGAACCGCGUUAAUCCGCGCUCCCCAAAUUGAUUGGCGGUCACGUCGAGCUUCCAUAGCGUAGUAGUAAAACCCUCGUUACUGGUAAUCGUCGCGGCCACGCCGUUAAACCCCAACUUCUGAA
RNAcentral lists this unclassified non-coding RNA (149 nucleotides) under uncultured Fusarium. RNAcentral's name for it is "sequence contains ITS2". Lineage: Eukaryota; Fungi; Ascomycota; Sordariomycetes; Hypocreales; Nectriaceae. The record is from RNAcentral.